GCGGUGGGGGACGGCGGGCGGCGGCGGGGCUCAGCGUGGCUUUCCGUACGGCCUGAGCCUCUUGUGCCCGUGCGGUGGCCGGAGUGCGCCGGUGCGACCCGCCUGGCCUUGGCUGCGCGGCGACUGGGGCCGGGCUCCAGCUCUGUGGCUCCCGCCGGCGCCGACCCGGUGGCUCUGCUGCCUUGGCUGCAUCUCUCCUGCAUAUUUAUGAUCAUCUGUCACAUUCCCUGUCCGUGGACAGUGUCCAAAGCCUAGCUCGGGGGAGCGUGCCAACAGAUCCAGAUGUAGAACUCUCAGCUCCUCCAGCACCAUGUCUGCCAUCACGCCACCAUGCUUGCUGUCAUGGUGACAAUGAACUAAACCUCUGAACUGUAAGCCAGCCCCAAUUAAAUGUUUCCUUUAU
RNAcentral lists this long non-coding RNA (403 nucleotides) under Rattus norvegicus (Norway rat). Its description in RNAcentral is "long non-coding RNA NONRATT009966". Lineage: Eukaryota; Metazoa; Chordata; Mammalia; Rodentia; Muridae. The record is from RNAcentral.